AGCAGCCGCGGUAAUUCCAGCUCCAAUAGCGUAUAUUAAAGUUGUUGCAGUUAAAAAGCCCGUAGUUGAAUUUCGGGGUUAGUAGGUUGGUCAUGCCUCUGGUAUGUACUGGUCUCACUGAUUCCUCCUUCCUGAUGAGCCGUAAUGCCAUUAAUUUGGUGUUGCGGGGAAUUUGGACUGUUACUUUGAAAAAUUAGAGUGUUUAAGGCAAGCUAACGCUUGAAUACAUUAGCAUGGAAUAAUGAAAUAGGACGUUCGAUCCUAUUUUGUUGGUUUCUAGGAUUGACGUAAUGAUUAAUAGGGAUAGUUGGGGGCAUUAGUAUUCAAUUGUCAGAGGUGAAAUUCUUGGAUUUAUUGAAGACUAACUACUGCGAAAGCAUUUGCCAAGGAUGUUUUCAUUAAUCAAGAACGAAAGUUAGGGGAUCGAAGACGAUCAGAUACCGUCGUAGUCUUAACCAUAAACUAUGCCGACUAGGGAUCGGAUGAUGUUAAUUUUUAAUGUACUCAUUCGGCGCCUUAC
RNAcentral lists this ribosomal RNA (520 nucleotides) under uncultured Glomus. Its description in RNAcentral is "SSU rRNA". It matches the Rfam family "Eukaryotic small subunit ribosomal RNA", at positions 569 to 1091 of the family's 1831-position model. Lineage: Eukaryota; Fungi; Glomeromycota; Glomeromycetes; Glomerales; Glomeraceae. The record is from RNAcentral.